This 516-nucleotide ribosomal RNA is filed under the name Ischnocnema abdita. RNAcentral's name for it is "partial large subunit ribosomal RNA". It matches the Rfam family "Bacterial large subunit ribosomal RNA", at positions 1817 to 2576 of the family's 2925-position model. Lineage: Eukaryota; Metazoa; Chordata; Amphibia; Anura; Brachycephalidae. The record is from RNAcentral.
CGCCUCUUGAAUUAAAUAAGAGGUCCAGCCUGCCCAGUGACAUCAGUUCAACGGCCGCGGUAUCCUGACCGUGCAAAGGUAGCGCAAUCACUUGUUUUUUAAAUAAAGACUAGUAUGAAAGGCAUCACGAGGAUCAACCUGUCUCCUUUUUCUGAUCUGUGAAACUAAUCUUCCCGUGAAGAAGCGGGAAUUCCUCUAUAAGACGAGAAGACCCUAUGGAGCUUUAGACAACGCAAUAACUGCUUCAUUUUCGCACUUUAACCGCGCAGUCUUAGGUUGGGGUGACCGCGGAGUAAAAUCCACCCUCCACGCUGAAUUAGGCCCUCCCCUAACAAAGAGCAACAACUCUAUGUAUCAACAAUUUGACAGCAAUUGACCCAAUCACUUGAUCAACGAAACAAGUUACCCUAGGGAUAACAGCGCAAUCCACUUCGAGAGCCCGUAUCAACAAGUGGGUUUACGACCUCGAUGUUGGAUCAGGGUAUCCCAGUGGUGCAGCCGCUACUAAAGGCUCGU